CACUGACUCACUCAACCCCUGUGACAUACCAAUUGUUGCCUCGGCGGAUCAGCCCGCUCCCGGUAAAACGGGACGGCCCGCCAGAGGACCCCUAAACUCUGUUUCUAUAUGUAACUUCUGAGUAAAACCAUAAAUAAAUCAAAACUUUCAACAACGGAUCUCUUGGUUCUGGCAUCGAUGAAAAACCGCAGCAAAAUGCGAUAAGUAAUGUGAAUUGCAGAAUUCAGUGAAUCAUCGAAUCUUUGAACGCACAUUGCGCCCGCCAGUAUUCUGGCGGGCAUGCCUGUUCGAGCGUCAUUUCAACCCUCAAGCCCAGCUUGGUGUUGGGACUCGCGAGUCAAAUCGCGUUCCCCAAAUUGAUUGGCGGUCACGUCGAGCUUCCAUAGCGUAGUAGUAAAACCCUCGUUACUGGUAAUCGUCGCGGCCACGCCGUUAAACCCCAACUUCUGAAUGUUGACCUCGGAUCAGGUAGGAAUACCCGCUGAACUUAAGCAUAUCAAAAGGGGGGGAAGGGAAA
RNAcentral lists this ribosomal RNA (517 nucleotides) under Fusarium verticillioides. Its description in RNAcentral is "eukaryotic LSU rRNA". The stretch from base 143 to 297 matches the Rfam family "5.8S ribosomal RNA". The record is from RNAcentral. Lineage: Eukaryota; Fungi; Ascomycota; Sordariomycetes; Hypocreales; Nectriaceae.